UACGUAGGGGGCAAGCGUUGUCCGGAUUUAUUGGGCGUAAAGAGCGUGUAGGCGGCUUUGCAAGUCCGUUGUGAAAACUCGAGGCUCAACCUCGAGACGCCGGUGGAAACUGCAAAGCUAGAGUCCGGAAGAGGAGAGUGGAAUUCCUGGUGUAGCGGUGAAAUGCGCAGAUAUCAGGAAGAACACCCGUGGCGAAGGCGGGUAGCUGGGCCAACACUGACGCUGAUGUGCGAAAGCUAGGGGAGCAAACGGG
Molecule: ribosomal RNA, 253 nt
Filed under: uncultured bacterium
Lineage: Bacteria
Description: partial 16S ribosomal RNA
Rfam family: Bacterial small subunit ribosomal RNA
Source: RNAcentral